UAUAAUUUCACGAUUAAAGGUAUCCAUAAUCGUUGAUAAAUACAAACUACUUAUCUAAUACUCCUACAUGUAAGACAUGAUAGUAGUCACAAAUUGUAUGAAGCUAGGUGAAGUCGGCUGAACAAAACCUAAGUGAGAAAUCAUAAGGUGAUAGAUAGGUCGGGAUGCUACAAA
This 174-nucleotide non-coding RNA is filed under the name Bacillus sp. JKS001846. The record is from RNAcentral. Lineage: Bacteria; Bacillati; Bacillota; Bacilli; Caryophanales; Bacillaceae.